This 76-nucleotide transfer RNA is filed under the name Nannocystaceae bacterium. RNAcentral describes it as "tRNA-Thr". It matches the Rfam family "tRNA". Rfam says of the family: Transfer RNA (tRNA) molecules are approximately 80 nucleotides in length. Their secondary structure includes four short double-helical elements and three loops (D, anti-codon, and T loops). Lineage: Bacteria; Pseudomonadati; Myxococcota; Nannocystales; Nannocystaceae. RNAcentral also lists the same sequence under 1 other name. The record is from RNAcentral.
GCCCUCGUAGCUCAGUUGGUAGAGCGCAUCCUUGGUAAGGAUGAGGUCUCCGGUUCGAAUCCGGUCGAGGGCUCCA